GUCGUCGUCAUCGUCGCCGCCUCCACCGCCGUGGUGUUCUAGUGCUGGUACAAAGUGCUCGUAACUGGGCGGCUUGUCGAAACCUGCGCAGAAAACGGGUCGUGUAAAUUAUUACAAUAUUGAAUUACCUAUAGAGUAGGUAUAUACUUACGCUCAUCGACACAUCUACACGAGAAACUGCCUCAAAAAACAGACUUGGAACAUUACCCGUGGCCAACGAGUACGUGAUCGCCCAUGUGAUGCCCUUGGCCACGUUGACGAGCAGCGGUUCGAUGAUGGCGCCCACGAGCGGCGCUAGCACUUUUCCAAUGAUCAGUAUCAGGUGGACGACCGAUAGUUU
Molecule: long non-coding RNA, 340 nt
Organism: Acyrthosiphon pisum (pea aphid)
Lineage: Eukaryota; Metazoa; Arthropoda; Insecta; Hemiptera; Aphididae
Exons: 3
Source: RefSeq, a predicted model, not a curated record